Molecule: non-coding RNA, 109 nt
Organism: Acanthosepion pharaonis
Lineage: Eukaryota; Metazoa; Mollusca; Cephalopoda; Sepiida; Sepiidae
Source: the annotation of a GenBank genome assembly
GCCAUAUCACGCUGAAACAACGGUUCCCGUAUGAUCACCGAAGUUAAGCAACGUCAAGAUUGGGCAGUACCAAGAUGAGUGACCACUUCAGGAUACCAGGUGCUGUAAG